RNAcentral lists this long non-coding RNA (1193 nucleotides) under Scleropages formosus (Asian bonytongue). RNAcentral's name for it is "lncRNA (ENSSFOG00015027157.1)". The record is from RNAcentral. Lineage: Eukaryota; Metazoa; Chordata; Actinopteri; Osteoglossiformes; Osteoglossidae.
ACCACGACAAAGCAAUUACAACAUGCUCUGAAUGUUGAUGUGAUUGUGUACAGUACACUGCCAAAAAGCAUGUUUACACGUGUAGGAAUUAACCCAGUAUUAACAGUGUAAGCCUACCUGCAAUUCCACAAUAAAGCCACGAGGGGGUGCCAUCACACCACGACAAAGCAAUUACAACAUGCUCUGAAUGGUGAUGUGAUUGUGUACAGUACACUGCCAAAAAGCAUGUUUACACGUGUAGGAAUUAACCCAGUAUUAACAGUGUAAGCCUACCUGCAAUUCCACAACAAAGCCACGAGGGGGCGCCAUCACACCACAACAAAGCAACUAUAACAUGACAACAGGUGGGACUCUUGCUCCACCUCUCCCCCACAACUAGACACCCCUACAGGCAAACACACGCAUACGUAAGGCUUUUUACAUACCUCCCAGCAACGCAUCCGUCACCAGCAUCGCACGGACCGGCACGGGUCCACACGUUGAAGGAGGCAGAGAAGGCGGCCCUAGACAAACAGGGAUUACAAUCGCUGCCGGUGAAGAAAGUGACGCGUACCUGCUGAGGGCCGGCUCUGGGUUCUCGCGGGCUACAAAGACCUGGUCCAGGUGCUGCAACAGAGACAGGGAGCAACGCAUCCGUCACCAGCAUCGCACGGACCGGCACGGGUCCACACGUUGAAGGAGGCAGAGAAGGCGGCCCUAGACAAACAGGGAUUACAAUCGCUGCCGGUGAAGAAAGUGACGCGCACCUGCUGAGGGCCGGCUCUGGGUUCUCGCGGACUACAAAGACCUGGUCCAGGUGCUGCAACAGAGACAGGGAGCAACGCAUCCGUCACCAGCAUCGCACGGACCGGCACGGGUCCACACGUUGAAGGAGGCAGAGAAGGCGGCCCUAGACAAACAGGGAUUACAAUCGCUGCCGGUGAAGAAAGUGACGCGCACCCUGCUGAGGGCCGGCUCUGGGUUCUCGCGGACUAAAAGACCUGGUCCAGGUGCUGCAACAGAGACAGGGAGGUAAGACUGGGCUUCAUCUAUACCGGGCAACUUUCUGUAUUGUCUUUCAGUGUUGAUGUGAUUGUGUAUGUUGUUGUCUCUACCACUCCGAAUAGUUGAGCCCAACAUUGUGCUACUUACUGAUAUUUAUUAAUACUAUUUAAAAAAGAAAAAGAAAGAAAAAGGUGAAAAAUGGUAAGUUU